GAGUUUGAUCGUGGCUCAGAUUGAACGCUGGCGGCAGGCCUAACACAUGCAAGUCGAGCGGAUGACGGGAGCUUGCUCCUUGAUUCAGCGGCGGACGGGUGAGUAAUGCCUAGGAAUCUGCCUGGUAGUGGGGGACAACGUUUCGAAAGGAACGCUAAUACCGCAUACGUCCUACGGGAGAAAGCAGGGGACCUUCGGGCCUUGCGCUAUCAGAUGAGCCUAGGUCGGAUUAGCUAGUUGGUGGGGUAAUGGCUCACCAAGGCGACGAUCCGUAACUGGUCUGAGAGGAUGAUCAGUCACACUGGAACUGAGACACGGUCCAGACUCCUACGGGAGGCAGCAGUGGAGAAUAUUGGACAAUGGGCGAAAGCCUGAUCCAGCCAUGCCGCGUGUGUGGAGAAGGUCUUCGGAUUGUAAAGCACUUUAAGUUGGAGGAAGGGCAGUAAGUUAACACCUUGCUGUUUGACGUUACCGACAGAAUAAGCACCGGCUAACUCUGUG
RNAcentral lists this ribosomal RNA (501 nucleotides) under bacterium enrichment culture clone ALO1_GLFRUDD03GM9RV. RNAcentral describes it as "bacterial SSU rRNA". It matches the Rfam family "Bacterial small subunit ribosomal RNA", at positions 9 to 507 of the family's 1533-position model. The record is from RNAcentral.